This 520-nucleotide ribosomal RNA is filed under the name Bifidobacterium adolescentis. RNAcentral describes it as "partial 16S ribosomal RNA". It matches the Rfam family "Bacterial small subunit ribosomal RNA", at positions 161 to 692 of the family's 1533-position model. The record is from RNAcentral. Lineage: Bacteria; Bacillati; Actinomycetota; Actinomycetes; Bifidobacteriales; Bifidobacteriaceae.
UGGUAAUGCCGGAUGCUCCAGUUGACCGCAUGGUCCUCUGGGAAAGCUUUUGCGGUAUGGGAUGGGGUCGCGUCCUAUCAGCUUGAUGGCGGGGUAACGGCCCACCAUGGCUUCGACGGGUAGCCGGCCUGAGAGGGCGACCGGCCACAUUGGGACUGAGAUACGGCCCAGACUCCUACGGGAGGCAGCAGUGGGGAAUAUUGCACAAUGGGCGCAAGCCUGAUGCAGCGACGCCGCGUGCGGGAUGACGGCCUUCGGGUUGUAAACCGCUUUUGACUGGGAGCAAGCCCUUCGGGGUGAGUGUACCUUUCGAAUAAGCACCGGCUAACUACGUGCCAGCAGCCGCGGUAAUACGUAGGGUGCAAGCGUUAUCCGGAAUUAUUGGGCGUAAAGGGCUCGUAGGCGGUUCGUCGCGUCCGGUGUGAAAGUCCAUCGCUUAACGGUGGAUCCGCGCCGGGUACGGGCGGGCUUGAGUGCGGUAGGGGAGACUGGAAUUCCCGGUGUAACGGUGGAAUGUGUA